RNAcentral lists this long non-coding RNA (298 nucleotides) under Cavia porcellus (domestic guinea pig). RNAcentral describes it as "lncRNA (ENSCPOG00000039684.1)". Lineage: Eukaryota; Metazoa; Chordata; Mammalia; Rodentia; Caviidae. The record is from RNAcentral.
CUCCCUGCCAGUCCAUGGCUCCUUAGGCAGCCUGGUUUCUUUGCCAGGAUCUUGGAGUUGCCCUUAUCCUCUCGUUAUCAGUGUCUGCACCCAUUGUGGAUGCUACUAUUUUUGUAAACGACUGCCAGUGUGACCUGCUCAAGGCCAGUGGCUUUGUGCUGACUGCUGGCCGCUGGAAGACAUACUACGGGAAGUCUUUGUGCAGGCUGAACGGGGAUGCAGCUGGAAGCUGAGUGCACUAGAAGAGACAGUAAGGCCCCACAAAUGUGAGUAGCCACGCUUUCUGCGUUCAUCCCCC